This 530-nucleotide ribosomal RNA is filed under the name uncultured bacterium. Its description in RNAcentral is "bacterial SSU rRNA". It matches the Rfam family "Bacterial small subunit ribosomal RNA", at positions 395 to 916 of the family's 1533-position model. The record is from RNAcentral.
UGCCGCGUGAGUGAAGAAGGCUUCGGGUGUAAAGCUCUUUCGGCCGGGAAGAAAUCGCACAGGUUAAUACCCUGUGUGGAUGACGGUACCGGAAUAAGAAGCACCGGCUAACUACGUGCCAGCAGCCGCGGUAAUACGUAGGGUGCGAGCGUUAAUCGGAAUUACUGGGCGUAAAGCGUGCGCAGGCGGUUUUGUAAGACAGGCGUGAAAUCCCCGGGCUCAACCUGGGAACUGCGUUUGUGACUGCAAGGCUAGAGUAUGGCAGAGGGGGGUGGAAUUCCACGUGUAGCAGUGAAAUGCGUAGAGAUGUGGAGGAACACCGAUGGCGAAGGCAGCCCCCUGGGCCAAUACUGACGCUCAUGCACGAAAGCGUGGGUAGCAAACAGGAUUAGAUACCCUGGUAGUCCACGCCCUAAACGAUGUCAACUAGGUGUUGGGAGGGUAAAACCUUUUAGUACCGGAGCUAACGCGUGAAGUUGACCGCCUGGGGAGUACGGCCGCAAGGUUAAAAACUCAAAAGGAAUUGACGG